UUUAUUGGAGAGUUUGAUCCUGGCUCAGGAUGAACGCUGGCGGCGUGCCUAAUACAUGCAAGUCGAGCGAAUGGAUUAAGAGUUUGCUCUUAUGAAGUUAGCGGCGGACGGGUGAGUAACACGUGGGUAACCUGCCCAUAAGACUGGGAUAACUCCGGGAAACCGGGGCUAAUACCGGAUAACAUUUUGAACCGCAUGG
This 199-nucleotide ribosomal RNA is filed under the name Bacillus paranthracis. Its description in RNAcentral is "partial 16S ribosomal RNA". It matches the Rfam family "Bacterial small subunit ribosomal RNA", at positions 1 to 193 of the family's 1533-position model. Lineage: Bacteria; Bacillati; Bacillota; Bacilli; Caryophanales; Bacillaceae. The record is from RNAcentral.